AUGAGCAUCAAGAGUGUCAUUGACCUUGUGAAAGCCAUCUUUCAUUACAAGGUGAAGUACGGCAAGGCAUGGAAGGCGAAGCAAGCCGCAUUCAAGAUGUUGUAUGGCAAUCGGGAGGAAGCAUACAACCGACUCCCUAGGUUGUUGUUAGCUAUGGCCGCCACAAACCCAGGCAUGGUUCACGUGGUUGAGCCUCAUGGGCACCAAACAUUGAUUCAUAACGGGAGGACCGUCCGAGUAUUUGGCCGUGCAUUUUGGGCCUUUGAGCAAUGCAUGAGGGCUUUUGAGCAUUGUCGGCCCGUCAUCGCCAUUGAUGGCACGUUCUUGACCGGACAAUACAAGGGCACUUUAUUGGUUGCAAUAGCAAGUGAUGCCAAUAACCGGGUGUUGCCUUUGGCUUUCGCUUUGGUUGAGGUGGAGAACAAUGAUAACUGGGAGUGGUUCUUGCGUCAACUGAGAACAAGGGUAUUACCUGCUGAAAGGGAAAUUUGUGUCAUAUCGGAUCGCCAUCCUGGAAUUCUAAAUGCGGUGGUGGUUGACAUUCCCGGAUAUACAAAGUUGCAUCAUCGAUGGUGCAUGAGGCACUUUUGUGCAAACUUCUAUAGGGCAUGUGGUAUCAAGGAGUUGGCCGAUGAUCUUCAGGAUUGUUGUCUCGCUUUCACCAACAAGUGGUUUUCCACAUUGUUCAAUGCAUUGCUCAGACACAAGAAACUUGACCCCGGCGGUCAGGAGUUUCUGAAUAAGAACAUUGCCAAAAGGAAUAUGUGGGCACGUGCUUUUGAUGAAGAUGGCCGGAGGUACGGUCAAAUGACAAGCAAUAUGGCAGAAUGCUUCAAUAAGGUGCUCAAGGGUGUACAUGCAUUACCCGUGAUGGCAAUAGUUCAAUACACAUUUGACAAGUUGAAUGAAUACUUUUUAAAGCACUCAAUGAAGACUGAUAAGCAGAUUGCUGGUGAGAACAAGGAUAAGCACAAGUACAAUUUCCCACCAAAGGUCGAAGAAUGGUUGGAAUUUCAAUCACAAAAGGCAGACUCCGAAGAAGCUGUACUAUAUGACGACAACGAGUGGAAGUAUGAGGUGAAAGAGCCCGGAGGAACCACAAACGAUGGCCGCCAACACGGAGGCCGGGCUUUCAAGGUCUCCCUAACACGGUGUGAUUGCAGCUGCAUGAGGCCGUCUUUGCUUCAUCUCCCAUGCUCGCACUUGUUAAAUGCAUCCCGGGUUAGGAAUGUGGACGUCAAUCACCCUCUUACCGUGAGGGAGUCCGAGUUCUCAAUCAUGACGGUAAAGAAUACAUGGACUCCACUGUUCCAGCCAUACUUGGACCAAUCACAAUGGCCGGAGUAUCAUGGAGUUCAACUAUGGCCGGACCUGGAAUUGAAGAUCGUUAGACGGGGAAGACGUAAGACAAAGCGUCUUAGAGGUGACAUGGACGGAUGGGGCCGUGGUGGUGGUGGAGAAUACGGCACCGGCCAAUUCGAAGAGCCUCGUGAGCAAUCCCGUUGUGGGGGCUGCAGUAAUGGGGGACACAACACAAGAACUUGUCCCAAACCAAGAAAGAGAUCAAAGAAAAAUAGUGCAAGCACAAGCCAAACAAAUGAUAGCCAACCAAGUGAACCAAGGGGUAGCCAACCAAGUCAAACAAGUGGUGGAGUGCCAAACCACUCAAAUCAAACAAGCCAACGAGGAACUAGGCAACAAAGAGGGAGUCAUCUUGGUCUUAGAAGAGGCCGUGGUGGUGGUCUUGGCCGUGGUGAUGGUCUUGGCCGUGGUGGUGGUAGAGGCCGUGGUGAUGGUCUUGGCCGUGGUGAAGGUCUUGGCCGUGGUGAUGGUCUUGGCCGUGGUGGUGGUAGAGGUCGUGGUGAUGGUGUUGGUCGUGGUGAAGGUCUUGGCUGUGGUGGUGGUAGAGGUCGUGGUGGUGGUCUUGGCCGUGCUGCUGGUAGAGUCCGUGGUGGUGGUGGUGGUAUAGGUCGUGGUGCUGGCGGUAGAGGCCGCGGUGGUGGUGUAGGCCGUGGUGAUGGUGGAGGCAGUGGUGAUGGUGGAGGCAGUGGUGAUCUUGGCCUUGGCGGCGGCCGUAGUGAAGGAAUGUUCUCUUGGCUCAAUGGACCAUUGCCGUAUGGAAACAAUGAAGGGGGUGGAGGACACGGAGGGGGAAGGUGA
This 2160-nucleotide ribosomal RNA is filed under the name Triticum aestivum (bread wheat). RNAcentral describes it as "partial small subunit ribosomal RNA". The record is from RNAcentral. Lineage: Eukaryota; Viridiplantae; Streptophyta; Magnoliopsida; Poales; Poaceae.